Molecule: ribosomal RNA, 253 nt
Filed under: uncultured bacterium
Lineage: Bacteria
Description: partial 16S ribosomal RNA
Rfam family: Bacterial small subunit ribosomal RNA
Source: RNAcentral
UACGUAGGUGGCAAGCGUUGUCCGGAUUUACUGGGCGUAAAGAGCGCGCAGGCGGUCGGUCAAGUCGCGUGUGAAAGCCCCCGGCUCAACUGGGGAGGGUCACGCGAUACUGAUCGACUCGAAGGCAGGAGAGGGGAGUGGAAUUCCCGGUGUAGCGGUGAAAUGCGUAGAUAUCUGGAGGAACACCGGUGGCGAAGGCGGCAUCCUGGACCGACACUGACGCUGAGGCGCGAAAGCUAGGGUAGCAAACGGG